UUUAACAAUGCUAGAUUUCAUAAAUCAUCCACAUAAUACAUCGAUGAAAAGACGUGCUUACUUAUCCUAUGGUAUUAUUUCGGCAGUGGGCUCAAAACAUAAGGCUAAAGCCAUCAAUGAAGUGAAACGGAGCAAAUGGUCAACCUGUAGCUUUGGCCUCUGCUGUAACUAUGGCUCGCCUGCGACUUCUGCUAAGACUAGGAGAUGGUGAUCGGGAAUAACUUUGUCCACGUCUGUAAUUCAAUAACAGAUAAAUUAACUUAACCAUUAAAGUAGACUAGAACAUUAAAGCAUAUACAUGGCGAAAAUAAGAUGGAUACUUCAAUUUCUUAGGCUAUUCUGAUAGUUUAUUUCUAUAUGACCUCGAUCCCUACAGCGGUAACACUUGUUCCUCAUCUCCAAUUUCAUUAAUGGUGCCUCUCUGGUCGUUGAAAUAAUGAAAGACAAGGAAUUUACAGAAGGGGGAAAGAGAGAAAAGGGAAUGGAAAAGGAAAGAGAGAAG
This 502-nucleotide long non-coding RNA is filed under the name Capsicum annuum. RNAcentral's name for it is "long non-coding RNA (CANN_LNC018693)". The record is from RNAcentral. Lineage: Eukaryota; Viridiplantae; Streptophyta; Magnoliopsida; Solanales; Solanaceae.